RNAcentral lists this transfer RNA (74 nucleotides) under Caudoviricetes sp. Its description in RNAcentral is "tRNA-Pro". It matches the Rfam family "tRNA". From Rfam's summary of the family: Transfer RNA (tRNA) molecules are approximately 80 nucleotides in length. Their secondary structure includes four short double-helical elements and three loops (D, anti-codon, and T loops). Lineage: Duplodnaviria; Heunggongvirae; Uroviricota; Caudoviricetes. The record is from RNAcentral.
CAGGAAGUAGCUCAGUUUGGUAGAGUGUCUGGUUUGGAGCCAGGGGGUCGAAGGUUCGAAUCCUUCCUUCCUGA